UCUCCAGUGCGAGCAGCCGCCAUUUUCUCAGCGUUAUAGAAGCGGGAAGCGAGUGAAAGACUAUGACUUGUCCAGCUCCUGUCUUCAUUGUCCUCGCGCUGAGAGUUAGAGACACAGAAGCUGUUUGUGUGAGGAGUCACAGACCUGUGUGAGGAUGAGGAGGAGGUGUUCUUCUGAAGAGAGGGACAGACGGGUUAAGGAGAGUAAACUUCAGAAUAACAUCAAGUUAUCUUUAUUUUUACUAAGACUAAAAUAAUGUGUGUGUUUUUUUUUAGAUGUUGAAAUCCAGAGACAAGAUAACUUCAUUCUUUUGAGACUGAUAACUCAAACUAACUGGAGUUAAGGACACACAAGUGCUUGUGUGAGGAGGUGGUUUUCUCAGCUUCUUCUGAAGAGAGGGAAAGAUCGUUUAAG
Molecule: long non-coding RNA, 414 nt
Organism: Carassius gibelio (silver crucian carp)
Lineage: Eukaryota; Metazoa; Chordata; Actinopteri; Cypriniformes; Cyprinidae
Exons: 3
Source: RefSeq, a predicted model, not a curated record